This 62-nucleotide microRNA precursor is filed under the name Paramuricea clavata. Lineage: Eukaryota; Metazoa; Cnidaria; Anthozoa; Malacalcyonacea; Plexauridae. The record is from RNAcentral.
CUCUGCUCUCCCUAUUGGGCCUGCCUCGUAUACGAGGCAGGUCCAAUAGGGAGAGCAGAGAU